This 466-nucleotide ribosomal RNA is filed under the name uncultured bacterium. RNAcentral describes it as "bacterial SSU rRNA". It matches the Rfam family "Bacterial small subunit ribosomal RNA", at positions 338 to 795 of the family's 1533-position model. The record is from RNAcentral.
CCUACGGGGCGCACCAGUGGGGAAUAUUGCACAAUGGGCGCAAGCCUGAUGCAGCCAUGCCGCGUGUAUGAAGAAGGCCUUAGGGUUGUAAAGUACUUUCAGUUGGGAGGAAGGCGUUGAUGCUAAUAUCAUCAACGAUUGACGUUACCAACAGAAGAAGUACCGGCUAACUCCGUGCCAGCAGUCGCGGUAAUACGGAGGGUGCAAGUGUUAAUCGGAAUUACUGGGCGUAAAGCGCACGCAGGCGGUUGAUUAAGUUAGAUGUGAAAUCCCCGGGCUUAACCUGGGAAUGGCAUCUAAGACUGGUCAGCUAGAGUCUUGUAGAGGGGGGGUAGAAUUCCAUGUGUAGCGGUGAAAUGCGUAGAGAUCUGGAGGAAUACCGGUGGCGAAGGCGGCCCCCUGGACAAAGAUUGACGCUCAGGUGCGAAAGCGUGGGGAGCAAACAGGAUUAGAUACCCUAGUAGUC